This is a long non-coding RNA of Bactrocera latifrons, 239 nucleotides long. RefSeq lists it as uncharacterized. The record is from RefSeq and is a predicted model, not a curated record. Lineage: Eukaryota; Metazoa; Arthropoda; Insecta; Diptera; Tephritidae. The transcript has 2 exons.
UUUAAACUAUCAACAACAUGGCAUAUACUAUAGCAACACCUUUGCUUUUAUUACUUGGACUCAUAGACAUGCUGUUCUUUCAGCAAUCUGUGGCCUGUAAUUUUGAGGAGGACCCGUCGUGCGGAAUAUAACAUUUGAGUUUCUAACAGCUGCUCAUAUAAUAAGUAUUAAUCCGAAGUACAUUCGUUUGUGCAAAGUGGCUGUUUUACUAAAAAUAAAUAUUUUUGUUGCGAAUGUUA